This is a non-coding RNA of Heterocephalus glaber (naked mole-rat), 1555 nucleotides long. The record is from RefSeq and is a predicted model, not a curated record. NCBI's taxonomy places the organism in Eukaryota, Metazoa, Chordata, Mammalia, Rodentia, Bathyergidae.
CAGUCUGUCAAACUGAACAGGAAUGACCGUUUGCUUUUCCCAUUUCUGUGACUUGGACAUCUCCGUUGCUGUGUGGUUUCUUUUAAAAUGAGAUUGUAUUAACCAUAUCCCACUCGGCUUCGUAAUGGCUCCAACGUUCCACUCCUCAAUGAGCUCUUUCUCUUGGGGCCUGGUCCAUUUGACAGCUGAACUGGAGUCCUGUCCAGCAUAGCGAAUACUAGAAGAACCCAGUGCAUCAUCCAAUGGACUUCAGUCCACUAUUACUUCUGCAUCCUGAUAUAAGUUGUUUGGUCACUGGUGUUUGAAAAGAUGAGUGGAUAUAUUCCUUCCCUUUCAUAUCUAAUGUAACCCCAGUUCCUAACCAACCCCUGUGAAACAGCACGACAGGCAGCUCCAUGGAAACACCCGAGAGACACCUGGGAAAUGUUUUAACAAAUGCCUUUCUAGACAAGCAUCCACACGUGCCUUUCUGCUCACCUGAAUUUGCUCAUCUAAAACUCCCAGUGGCCCUGCGAGAGGCCCUCAUUCCUGUCUCACCCGUUAGAAAGCAUUCUCAGAGAUCAGUACCCUGCCCCAUCACCCAGUUGGGAAUGGAGACCUAGAGUUCCAGCCCUGGACCGCUGGGUUUCAGAACCCAGACCCGUGAUCACCUGCACAUUGCCAGGGAGGAUGGCCUGGAUGAGACAGAGGAGCCUUCAAGUUCCGUGACACACAGUUUCCUCUGAUUAAAGAGUCGAACACACGAUAAGCAGAACACAGAUUUUCCUAAACUGGAUGGACCCAGUGUAUCACAAAGGUACUUUAAAGACAGAAAUAGAAGAGGAAAGCAGGAGCCCACUCGUUUCUCCCUCUCCACUAACUCUUAGAAUUGCAUUUAAGGAUCCUCCACAUCUUUUCAGAUUUGGUAGCUCAUUUCUUUAUAGCUGAGUAAUAUUCCAUUGUUGGAUGUAUCAUAAUUUAGCUGGUCACCUACCAAAGGAUACCAGGUUGUGCCAGUUCUGGAUAAACCUGCUGUCACUAACCAUGCGCAGGUUUUUGUAUGGACAUCUGUUUCAAUUUACCUGGGCUUUAAAAACAUCUGCUCAUCUAGAAAGCCGUCAAGAGCCAUCAAAGGACUCUCAAACCACAGGUCAUCUCUGAAUUGUAAACAUCAAUGCUCAGUGUUUUCGGGGUAUUUGAGUGUGGGUUUUGGCAGAGGGUAGAGAAGGCGAGUUAGAGGAAACAGCAGGUGGUGGUGAAUGAAGUAUCGAUCUGGACACCCUUGUGUCCUGUUGAUUUCAAGACCACAGAGGGCUUGUGUCUGAUUCAUUUUAAUAAGCACAGAGCUUGAUGUAUGGGGUGCUGUAGUGGGACAGAAUCAAGGGGUUUAUUAGAUCUCCAUGGUGGACGAGUCCUCCACGGCUGUAUGGCUGUCUGUACCCUGGAGCUGGACUGUAUAGCUGAGGGCUGCAGCUCCUCUGCCCAAGGAGAUGGGAGCCACAGAACAAGAGGGAGCAAGAAUAUAGCACCAAGCCAGGUGGCAGUAAUCCCAGCACUCCGGGGCUGAGGCAGGAGG